Molecule: ribosomal RNA, 666 nt
Filed under: uncultured bacterium
Lineage: Bacteria
Description: bacterial SSU rRNA
Rfam family: Bacterial small subunit ribosomal RNA (bases 1-543)
Source: RNAcentral
CCUACGGGAGGCAGCAGUAAGGAAUAUUGGUCAAUGGAGGCAACUCUGAACCAGCCAUGCCGCGUGCAGGAAGAAGGCCCUAUGGGUCGUAAACUGCUUUUGUACCAGAGAAAACCCGAGUACGUGUACUCGGUUGAUAGUAUGGUAAGAAUAAGCAUCGGCUAACUUCGUGCCAGCAGCCGCGGUAAGACGAAGGAUGCAAGCGUUAUCCGGAUUCAUUGGGUUUAAAGGGUGCGUAGGCGGACUGAUAAGUCAGUGGUGAAAUCUCUCGGCUUAACCGAGAAACUGCCAUUGAUACUGUUAGUCUAGAGUAUAGAUGACGUUGGCGGAAUAUGACAUGUAGUGGUGAAAUACUUAGAUAUGUCAUAGAACACCGAUUGCGAAGGCAGCUAACGAAACUAUAAACUGACGCUGAGGCACGAAAGUGCGGGGGAUCAAACAGGAUUAGAUACCCUGGUAGUCCGCACCGUAAACGAUGAUUACUCGUUGUUGGCAAUAUGACCGUCAGCGACCGACGACGAAGACGAGUAAGUAAGUACCACCGUAACGGGGUAGGUACGGUUCCGGCCGAACCGGUUACGGUUAAACGUAACCGAAAGUUAGUUAGUUAGUUACGGGACGUUGGAGACGUUACGGCCGAACGGACGACCGACCGAGGGGAGGAGG